This is a small nucleolar RNA of Archocentrus centrarchus (flier cichlid), 81 nucleotides long. RefSeq annotates it as small nucleolar RNA SNORD60. The transcript has a single exon. The record is from RefSeq and is a predicted model, not a curated record. NCBI's taxonomy places the organism in Eukaryota, Metazoa, Chordata, Actinopteri, Cichliformes, Cichlidae.
AGCCGCUGAUGACAUACUAAACAUUUUUCUGACACCUCGUAUGAGAGCUAAGCUCCUGAUUCUAAAUCCAAUCUGAGGCUU